RNAcentral lists this ribosomal RNA (251 nucleotides) under uncultured bacterium. Its description in RNAcentral is "partial small subunit ribosomal RNA". It matches the Rfam family "Bacterial small subunit ribosomal RNA", at positions 26 to 288 of the family's 1533-position model. The record is from RNAcentral.
AGAAUCAACGCUGGCGGCGUGCCUAACACAUGCAAGUCGAACGAGAAAGGGGUAGCAAUACCCUGAGUAAAGUGGCGCACGGGUGAGUAACACGUGACUAACCUACCCUUGAGUGGGGGGAUAACUGAGGGAAACCUUAGCUAAUACCGCAUAAUACCCACGGGUCAAAGGGGCAAUUCGCUCGAGGAGGGGGUCGCGGCCGAUUAGUUAGUUGGCGGGGUAAUGGCCCACCAAGACGAUGAUCGGUAUCC